AACAUCGCGCACCUGCGGGAACCUGCGGAGGGAUCAUUACUGAGUCACGUGCUCAAACAACCCUUCUGUGGACCUGAAAUAAAACCGUUGCCCCGGCGGGCGGUCCCCCCCAAACCAACCCCACGUGGUGGGUUAGGGGAGACCAGACAGUCCGGUACGCUUAAGGCGUCCGGCGCCAGCCGCUGGCCCCAAACAAUUAAACUCUAGUAAUCUUUACCUUCUGAGUUUCAAUAUUUAAAA
Molecule: unclassified non-coding RNA, 240 nt
Filed under: soil metagenome
Description: partial contains 5.8S ribosomal RNA, internal transcribed spacer 2, and large subunit ribosomal RNA
Source: RNAcentral